This 1279-nucleotide long non-coding RNA is filed under the name Macaca fascicularis (crab-eating macaque). RNAcentral's name for it is "lncRNA (ENSMFAG00000063317.1)". The record is from RNAcentral. Lineage: Eukaryota; Metazoa; Chordata; Mammalia; Primates; Cercopithecidae.
UUUUUUGUUUUUUUUUUUUUAACUGUUGAGAGAAAAGCCAGAAACAAAAGGCUGCAUAGUGUACAAUUCCAAUUAUGUAAAACUCUAAAAGAUACAAAUUAACAAACAGUGGUAGAAAGUAGAUUAGUGAUUGACUGGUGCUGGGGUGGACUGAGGGAAUGUGGGAAUUGACUGGAAAAGGGUAAGAGAACACUUGGCUGGCAAUGGAAAUGUUCUAUAUCUUCACUGUGGCCAGUAUAAGAACAUGUGCCUUUAUCAAAAGUCAUCAAUCUGCACACUAAAAAUGGGUGCAUUUCAUUGUAUGUAAAUGUUACGCCAAUAAGAUUUAUUUUAAAAAUUGUAGUGGAAAUGCAAGGAGAAGAAAGGGGGUAAUUUAGGUAUAAUUCUAUGUGAGAGCGGGCAGAUUUUGAGUAGGUUUAUAUGCUAAGAGGAAAAGACAGUGGAGAUGGAGGGAGAAAAUACCAGAGGGAGGAAAGGACUGAUGAGGCAGAUUUCUCAGGGACAGGAAGGUGGGGUUGCCAUCCCGAGCACUGGUGGAUGGAUGAGCCGUGGAUGGGAGGAGUGAACACAAGCUCCCUGAGUCUGCAGUGGAGGAAAGUGGUUGUACUAUUAAGUUUGAACAAAGACAAAUGUAAUUUUGUUUGUGGGAGGGCAGAAAGUAGAGGAAGUUCAUGGUUCAUUCAAUCAUUCAACCUUUAUUUAUUUUAUGCCAAACACUGUAUUAAUAAAGAUAUGGAUAUUCUAUAAGAAAGAAUAAUACUGUCUCUGCUCUCAUAGAAUUUAGAAUACAGUAGAUGGGGGGGCAUUAAACAAUUAAAGAACUAAAUAUAUAAUUACAGAUUAUUAUGAAUGCCAUACAGGAUAAGGAAUCUAUUAAAGAGUACAACAGAAGGAACCUAAUUUAGACAGAUGGCUCAGGGAAGGUCUCUUUGGUGAAGCCACCUGUCAGCUGAGAGGAGGAAGAUGAGAAGGAGUUAGGUGAUAAGUGAAUGGAAUGACUUCAGUGAAGACCUUAAUAUUGGACAGAUUUGGGUGCAUUUUGAUACAGAACAAUAAUUAUAUGUGAAUUUUAAGAGAUUAAUUUAGGGCCAGGUGUGGUGGCUUACGCCUGUAAUCCCAGCACUUUGGGAGGCCGAGGUGGGCAGAUCACUUGAAGUCAGAAGUUCAAGACCAGCCUGGUCAACAUGGUGAAACCCCAUCUCUACUAAAUAUACAAAAAUUAUCUGGGCACGGUGGCAGUCGCCUGUAAUCCCAGCUACUCAGGAGGCUGAGGCAGGAG